This 350-nucleotide unclassified non-coding RNA is filed under the name soil metagenome. RNAcentral describes it as "partial contains 5.8S ribosomal RNA, internal transcribed spacer 2, and large subunit ribosomal RNA". The stretch from base 1 to 120 matches the Rfam family "5.8S ribosomal RNA", at positions 35 to 154 of the family's 154-position model. The record is from RNAcentral.
GAUGAAGAACGCAGCGAAAUGCGAUACGUAAUGUGAAUUGCAGAAUUCAGUGAAUCAUCGAGUCUUUGAACGCACAUUGCGCCCCCUGGUAUUCCGGGGGGCAUGCCUGUCCGAGCGUCAUUGCUGCCCUCAAGCACGGCUUGUGUGUUGGGCCCCCGCCCCCCGGUUCCCGGGGGGCGGGCCCGAAAGGCAGCGGCGGCACCGCGUCCGGUCCUCGAGCGUAUGGGGCUUCGUCACCCGCUCCGUAGGCCCGGCCGGCGCCCGCCGGCGACCCCCCCCCAAUCUUUCCAGGUUGACCUCGGAUCAGGUAGGGAUACCCGCUGAACUUAAGCAUAUCAAUAAGCGGAGGA